Molecule: ribosomal RNA, 497 nt
Filed under: uncultured bacterium
Lineage: Bacteria
Description: partial 16S ribosomal RNA
Rfam family: Bacterial small subunit ribosomal RNA
Source: RNAcentral
GAUGAACGCUGGCGGCGUGCCUAAUACAUGCAAGUCGAACGAACAGACGCGGCGCUUGCUCCUCUGACGUUAGCCGCGGACGGGUGAGUCACACGUGGAUCCCCUACCUAUAAGACUGGGAUCACUUCGGGAAACCGGCGCUAAUCCCGGAUAAUCUCUUGCACCGCAUGGUUCAAUAGUGAAAGACGGUUUUGCUGUCACUUAUAGAUGGUUCCGGGCCGCAUUAGAUAGUUGGUAAGGUAACGGCUUACCACGGCAACCAUGCGUAACCGACCUGAGGGGGGGAUAGGCGACAUGGGAGCGGAGACAGCGACAAUGCGCCUAAGGGACGGACCAGUAGGGUAUCGGCCGCAAAGGGCGAAAGCCUGACGGAGCAACGCCGCGUGAGUGGUGAAGGUCUUCGGAGCGUAAAACUCUGUUACUAGGGAAGAACAAAUGUGUAAUGAACUAUGCACGGCUUGACGGUACCUAAUCAGAAAGCCACGGCUAACUACGUG